RNAcentral lists this long non-coding RNA (4731 nucleotides) under Ficedula albicollis (Collared flycatcher). RNAcentral's name for it is "lncRNA (ENSFALG00000026890.1)". Lineage: Eukaryota; Metazoa; Chordata; Aves; Passeriformes; Muscicapidae. The record is from RNAcentral.
GCUCUGUCUGUAAAGAGGCUGAACCCCAGAACCCUAUCUCAGCGAAGCCUCCUGCCUGUCUUCACCUAUGGCCAGCUUGUUCCAGAGGCAAGACUGAGGGUUUGUGUGUCUGGGGUAAAUCACCUCCUCAGGCAGUGCCCUCAGGCAUGUCUUAGGCAGGAGAGUUAACAGCCAAGGACUGUCUCAGCCCAGGAGCCAUGGCACUUACGGUCUUCUCUGCGGAAGAACCAGAGCAGCUCUUCCAGCUGCUCCUGUUCCAAGCCCAGUGGGAGGAUAGCUAUAAAUUAACCCAGCAGCCAGUGCAGCAGGAAUGCCCGUUAAUCUCUGCUAACUCACCAGAAACAUGCAGUUCCCAGCAGGGAGGAAGCUACAUUUCUUCUUUAAGCCCUGUCAUCCGAAGACAUCUCCUCCAAGCACCGUGGUAAUACAAGGUUCCCUGUGCUCUGCUCUGGGUAUGCUACGAGCUGUGAUUCAUGCUGCUCCUGAGUCAUGUGUGAAGGCCAGUUCAACAGAGUUCCCCUGGGCAGCCCCAGUGAAAUAUCACCCAGCAGAUGUGUGCUCCCCAAACAGAGAUGUUUCACUGCUCAGCCUCAGCCUGGCAGCGAUCAGAUGGGAGCUCAGAAAUGCAUCCCCCAGGAAACAAGAGCUGCUCCCUGCUGCUGGAGGCACAUCCAGCCAGGACAUCCCACCACAUGGUAAAUCCUGCUGUCCUUCCUUCUCAAUUCCAGCUCGAUCUUUCCAGAAGUGCCACCACAAUGGAGAACACCUUUCUAGCGUCUUUGUUGAGCUUUUUGUUGCCAGGGAAAGGGUGCACAUGGACAGCACAGUAAGUGGUCUCACAAUCAAACCCUCUGGCCUUGGGAAAGCACAAAGAAGACACUUGGCCUCUGCAGAACAAUCUCUGAGUAGAGGGAAGGAGACACUGGCCAUGGUGAAAAGGUGACUGUAACAUAAGGAUGGUGACUGCACAACACCAGGAGGUUCCUUUUCAUCCCAAUUUCCACAUGGCUCAAUGUAUAUAUCUAGGGUCAGGAUGCAGGUAGGUGGCUGAGAUAUGUUUAGGACUCAGCAUGAUGUACAUGAAAAAUAAAACCAGUUCCUCACUGGUUGGAGUUGGCUCUUGUGCCCAGUAUCCUCUCCUUUUCCAGAGAACCACAAACGAGCUCAGGAGCGCUCCUGCUCCUCUCCAGUGAGGGUGUGAGUAUUUGAUUCUGUGUCUCCCCUGACAGCAUUGGCACUGGCUAAUGGGAAAUAUCUUUUUACUUCUUGGAGACACUUUCAGCGUCUUUGGCCAGGAAGCAAAGUGGAGAUAAGAUCUGAUUUGUGUUCUGUUUCCUCCUCAGAUUUGUCUUCACUGCUCUUGGGAAGAAUUUGUCUGACCUUGGUGUUUUAAUUUUGCUUAUCUUUUUUGAUCCCUUCAGUGUCUUUGACCUGAAAUGCCUGGUUACAGAAUAACUAAACAUUCAGGGUUGUUUUUUUUUUUUUUUUUUUUCCAUGUACAAAACCAGAGUUCAAAUGUAGCAGGAAAGCCAGAUUUUUUUUUAUUAUUUUUGUGAAACAAUCAGAUAGUUGCUUUCAUUCUGAAAAAAUUUUUAUCAAAAUAAAUCUUCAGUUAAAAUUCACAAAGGCAUAAUAAUGAAUAACAGCCAUAAUGUGUUUGAAAUGUGCUGUCACAGCAGAGCCAAGGAUGAAUUACAUGGGAGCAAGUGUACUGGAGGGAAUUGAAGUCCACUUCUAAAACUCACUGCAAAUGAAAUUUUAAUUACUUUGUGCAUAUGUCUGGCAAAGCUCAGCAUGGAGUUACAGCAUUUCCAGGAGCCUUAACUACAGCCAGAAGUGAGAAUUCAUCUCAGGGCUUAAGUCCUGGAGGAACAGCAGGUGAAACUCAACACAUGGUGUCAAUGACAUGUUCAGUGCCUGGAUCUGAUACCUGGAAAUUAAUACUGAGCAGCAGCUGGAUCCUGGGUUCAAACUCACAACUUUUGGGCAAUGCAGACACACACAUACAUCCCUGGCCUUUCUGAAGUGUUGGUGAUAAAUCCAGGGCUUCAUCUAAGACCUCAGAGAACUGGUAUUUGCUCUCACCACACAGGAUAUCUCCUUCCAGCCUUUCUUCCAGCAAUUGCCUCUGGAAACCAUGAGUAUUUUUCAGCAUCUGAGAUAUUAUAAGGUCAAAUUUUUCACCAUCUGAGAUAAGGCCUGAAAUUACACUCUGUGCUGAACAGUGCUCCUCUCGUUUGAGCCCUGACAGCCAUGAGUGCCUGUAAUCACUUAGUUAUUGUGCAAUGACAAAUUGUUCCCUGUUUAUGAUAAGUCAGACUGUUCACCUUCCCUUCUUUCCAAUCCACCUUCCAACAUGAACCACGCUGGGAGCUUUAAUCUCUUCUGAAGCACAAGCCAUUCCUUCAUCCUUGCUAGCCUCUUGUUUAUAUUUUUAUUUAUUUUUACUGUAACAUGUCAUUUACUCACUGAGAUGAGGUGACCAGAGUUGAAGUGACUAAACCAAGUGUUUUCAUAGGACUCCCCAGGCAAUAGAAAAAUGUAAAUUAUUUUUAGCAUUUGAUUUUUAUAUACUGAUUAAGAAAUUACCUCAGUAUUUGGUAGCAUAUUCUCCUUUUCUCAGGGUGCAGGAGUGUAAGCACCCCAGUUAGGAUGGCCUGACUCUUUUUUUUUUAUCUGGAACAGCAAUUUUUCAUUCUUUUCUUCUUAUUACCACCACAGGAGUCCAUGGCUAAGAGAAGAAAACCCUAAUGAUGAGCAAACAGACAAGAAAAAGGGAAGGAAUAUACACAGCAUUGCUUAGUACGGCACAAAAUUUCACUUUUUUAAAUUGAUCCUUCCCUCAUGUAUUCAACAUAAAAUUCUGCCAUCCAUUUUCCAAGUAAUUUACAUAUUUUCACAGGCACAUAGGAUAUUUACAGAUUCUCACAGUCCAUGCUGCAGAAAUUCCUAGUGUCAAAGACUGUAGGAUAGACUGUGAUUUAGAUGUGCAGGGAAUUUGUGUAUGUGAUUUACAUUAAAAGCUACACAAAUAAACCAUCUUCCCACAGGGGGAAAGAAUGUACUUAGCAGAACGAUAAAAUAUUUUCAUACUUAUGUUAUGGGAGGAGACAGUUCUUUAAGUGGUGAUUCUGACCCCGUAGUUUAUAAGACAACAUUCUUUGAGUUACUGUCACUGUUAAAAUGAAGCUGUCUAUGGAGUCAGAAAGGAAAUCUGUUUUUCAAAUGCCGUCAGAGCCAGAUCAGUGGCUGUGGGGUCAACACCCCUUUAGUCCCUGACGUUUUUCUGCGUUAUCUUCGCACUGAGAAUUCCUGCUCAGGGUUAAAGGGUGACACCACUCAGGAGCAUCGCACCGUGGGGCUGGAGCUGCUGGAGCUGUCAGGGCAGCACAGCUGAGGGCUGUGCCGAUGGCUCCCACCACCCCACACCACAUCACAGAACUGUCAGGGCUGGCAGGGACCUCUGGAGAUCACCCAGUCCAAGCCCCUAGGCAGGGUUAUGUGGAACAAGUGACAGGGGUGAGCGUGUCCCGGUGGCUUUGGAAGGUCUCCAGAGAGGGAGGCUCCGCAGCCUCUCUGGGCAGCUGUCCCAGUGCUCUGCCGCUCUCCGUAUAAAGUUAUUCCCCAUGUUGAGAUGGAACUUCUUGUGUUGUAAUCUAUGGACGCUGCUCCUCAUCCUGUUGCCGAGCACUACCCAAAAGACCCUUGCACUAGCAUCUUAACACCCCAGGAGAUAUUUUUAUGCAUUAACGAGAUCCCCUGUCAGUCUUCUCCAGGCUAAGCACGGUAUGAAGGCACUGUGCUCUUAGAGAGCAUCCAAAGGAGGCCACGAGGAUGGGGAAGGGUGUGGAAGGGAAGCUGUACGAGUAGCGGCUGAGGGCAUUUGUUUUGUCCAGCCUGGAAGAGACUGAGAGACCUCCCUGUGAUCUCCAACAUCCUCCUGAGGGACAGCGGAGGGGCAGACACUGCUCCCUUCACUCUCUGACCAGUGACUGGACCCGAGGGAACAACAUGGUGCGUCGGGGAGAUUUAGGCUGGGUGUCAGGAAAAGGCUUUCAGAGGGUGGUUGGCACGGAUGCGUCGGGGAGAUUUAGGCUGGAUGUUAGGAAAAGGCUUUCAGAGGGUGGUUGGCACGGGAAGGGUUUCCCCAGAGAAUGCUCACGGCUCCAAGGCUGCCAGAGCAGCAGAAGCGUUCGGACAGCGCUCUGAGGCACAGGGCGGCACUACCGGGGUGCCCUGCGCAGGGCCACGGGUUGGACUCGAUGAUCCCGGAAGGGUUUCCCCAGAGAAUGCUCACGGCCCCAAGGCUGCCAGAGCAGCAGAAGCGUUCGGACAGCGCUCUGAGGCACAGGGCGGCACUACCGGGGUGUCCUGCGCAGGGCCACGGGUUGGACUCGAUGAUCCCUGUGGCUCCGUUCCAGCCAGGUUCGCCUAUAAUUCUAUGAUUUACCCACUAUGGGUGGGACUCGAUGAUCCUUGUGGGUCUUUCCACUCAAGUUCGCCUCUAGUUCUAUGAUUUUCCGACUGGGUGGGACUCGAUGAUCCUUGUGGCUCCGUUUCCACUCAGGUCUGCCCCUAAUUCUAUGAUUCUCCGACUGGCUUGGACCGGGCGAUCCCCGUGGCUCCCCGGUAACUCCGGGACAUUCGGGCGACAUUCGGGGGGGGGGGGGGGGGGGGGGGGGGGGGGGGGGGGGGGGGGGGGGGGGGGGGGGGGGGGGGGGGGGGGGGGGG